This 189-nucleotide small nuclear RNA is filed under the name Propithecus coquereli (Coquerel's sifaka). Its description in RNAcentral is "U2 spliceosomal RNA (ENSPCOG00000007853.1)". It matches the Rfam family "U2 spliceosomal RNA". From Rfam's summary of the family: U2 is a small nuclear RNA (snRNA) component of the spliceosome (involved in pre-mRNA splicing). The record is from Rfam by way of RNAcentral. Lineage: Eukaryota; Metazoa; Chordata; Mammalia; Primates; Indriidae.
AUUGUUUGUCAGCCUUUUGGCUAAGAUCAAGUGUAGUAUCUGUCCUUAUUAGUUUAAUAUCUGGUGUGUCCCUUGUCCGAGGACAAUAUAUUAAAUGGGGUUUUGGAGCAGGGAGCUGGAAUAGGAGCUUGCUCUGUCCACUGCACACGGCCGGCUGGCAUUGCAGUACUCAGGAACGGUGCACCCUCC